GUCCACGCCUUAAACUAUGAAUACUAAGUGUCGGCGGGUUACCGCCGGUGCCGCAGCUAACGCAUUAAGUAUUCCGCCUGGGAAGUACGGCCGCAAGGUUGAAACUAAAAGGAAUUGACGGGGCCGCACAAGCGGUGGAGCAUGUGGUUUAAUUCGACGCAACGCGAAGAACCUUACCCAGGCUGGACAUGCAGGUAGUAGAAGGGUGAAAGCCCAACGAGGUAGCAAUACCAUCCUGCUCAGGUGCUGCAUGGCUGUCGU
Molecule: ribosomal RNA, 261 nt
Filed under: uncultured bacterium
Lineage: Bacteria
Description: partial 16S ribosomal RNA
Rfam family: Bacterial small subunit ribosomal RNA
Source: RNAcentral